RNAcentral lists this ribosomal RNA (465 nucleotides) under uncultured bacterium. RNAcentral's name for it is "partial 16S ribosomal RNA". It matches the Rfam family "Bacterial small subunit ribosomal RNA", at positions 338 to 795 of the family's 1533-position model. The record is from RNAcentral.
CCUACGGGUGGCAGCAGUGGGGAAUAUUGCGCAAUGGGCGAAAGCCUGACGCAGCGACGCCGCGUGAGGGAUGAAGGUCUUCGGAUCGUAAACCUCUGUCAGCAGGGAAGAACGGUCACUGUGCUAAUCAGCAGUGAAUUGACGGUACCUGCAAAGGAAGCACCGGCUAACUCCGUGCCAGCCGCCGCGGUAAUAAGUGGGGUGCGAGCGUUAAUCGGGAUUACUGGGCGUAAAGCGCUCGUAGGCGGUAGUUCCAGUCAUGGGGGAAAUCCCCGCGCUCAACGUGGGUACUGCCUUUGAAACUGGCAAACUGGAGUGUGUGAGAGGAUAGUGGAAUUCAAGGUGUAGGAGUGAAAUCCGGAGAUAUCGGGAGGAACAUCAGUGGCGAAGGCGACUAUCUGGCACAUAACUGACGCUGAGGAGCGAAAGCGUGGGUAGCAAACAGGAUUAGAUACCCGAGUAGUC